RNAcentral lists this ribosomal RNA (497 nucleotides) under uncultured bacterium. RNAcentral's name for it is "partial 16S ribosomal RNA". It matches the Rfam family "Bacterial small subunit ribosomal RNA", at positions 28 to 507 of the family's 1533-position model. The record is from RNAcentral.
GAUGAACGCUGGCGGCGUGCCUAAUACAUGCAAGUCGAGCGAACGGACGAGAAGCUUGCUUCUCUGAUGUUAGCGGCGGACGGGUGAGUAACACGUGGAUAACCUACCUAUAAGACUGGGAUAACUUCGGGAAACCGGAGCUAAUACCGGAUAAUAUUUUGAACCGCAUGGUUCAAAAGUGAAAGACGGUCUUGCUGUCACUUAUAGAUGGAUCCGCGCUGCAUUAGCUAGUUGGUAAGGUAACGGCUUACCAAGGCAACGAUGCAUAGCCGACCUGAGAGGGUGAUCGGCCACACUGGAACUGAGACACGGCCCAGACUCCUACGGGAGGCAGCAGUAGGGAAUCUUCCGCAAUGGGCGAAAGCCUGACGGAGCAACGCCGCGUGAGUGAUGAAGGUCUUCGGAUCGUAAAACUCUGUUAUUAGGGAAGAGCAUAUGUGUAAGUAACUGUGCACAUCUUGACGGUACCUAAUCAGAAAGCCACGGCUAACUACGUG